GACACGACUCUCGGCAAUGGAUAUUUCAGUUUUCGCAUCGAUGAAGAGCACAGCGAAAUGUGAUACGUGGUGCGAAUUGCAGAAUCCCGCGAAC
This 94-nucleotide ribosomal RNA is filed under the name Soterosanthus shepheardii. RNAcentral describes it as "5.8S ribosomal RNA". It matches the Rfam family "5.8S ribosomal RNA", at positions 1 to 89 of the family's 154-position model. Rfam says of the family: 5.8S ribosomal RNA (5.8S rRNA) is a component of the large subunit of the eukaryotic ribosome. The record is from RNAcentral. Lineage: Eukaryota; Viridiplantae; Streptophyta; Magnoliopsida; Asparagales; Orchidaceae.